RNAcentral lists this ribosomal RNA (494 nucleotides) under uncultured bacterium. RNAcentral's name for it is "partial 16S ribosomal RNA". It matches the Rfam family "Bacterial small subunit ribosomal RNA", at positions 28 to 507 of the family's 1533-position model. The record is from RNAcentral.
GAUGAACGCUGGCGGCGUGCUUAACACAUGCAAGUCGAACGGUGAAGCGCCUUCCUUUUUGGUGGGUGUGGAUGAGUGGCGAACGGGGGAGUAACACGUGAGUAACCUUCUCCCUUCUUCUGGAUAACCGCAUGAAAGUGUUGCUAAUACGGGAUAUUCUGAGUCUGUCGCAUGAUGGGUCUGGGAAAGAUUUUGUUUCGGUUGGGGAUGGGCUCGCGGCCUAUCAGCUUGUUGGUGAGGUGAUGGCCUACCAAGGCGGUGAGGGGUAGCCGGCCUGAGAGGGUGGGCGGUACUGCUGGGGAUGAGAGGCGCAGCAGCCUACGAGGGGCGGCAGUAGUGGAGAUUACUGAAUGAAGGGAGGCCGGAUGAUGCAGCGACGCGGGGGGGGGGAUGGAGGCCUGCGGGUUGUGAACUUCUUUCGCGAGUGAAGAAGGCCGGACGUGUCUGUGGGUGGGUUGACGGUAGCUGGAUAAGAAGCGACGGCUAACUACGUG